GACUAUAUCACGUUGAAACAUCGGUUCCUGUACAAUCACUGUAGUUAAGCUACGGCGUGCCUGGUCAGUACCAGGAUGGGUGACCGCUUAAGAAUACCGGAUGUUGUAAG
Molecule: non-coding RNA, 110 nt
Organism: Acanthosepion pharaonis
Lineage: Eukaryota; Metazoa; Mollusca; Cephalopoda; Sepiida; Sepiidae
Source: the annotation of a GenBank genome assembly